AGGAGAGCCAUCACCAAGCCCAGCAGACUACCAUAGACAAGCACACAGAAAUGAGCAGACAAGGACUAUGGAAACCAGGGUUGAAAUCAGAGGGCUGGUACUAAAGGUUGUGGGAUGAAGAGUCAGACAGGAUUUGCACGGCUCCCUGAAUGUUGGGGCAGAACAUGUCAUCCAUGGAAAUUGACUUAUUUUGUUCUACAAGGAAAAAACCAGGUGUCAGCACAAGAAGAGAAGUAUAACCAACCCCAUGACCAUAAACUGAAACAGGUGUGUGUGCUUUUAGUUUGAGGGGAAUAAUCUACACCAAUAAAAGU
Mus caroli (Ryukyu mouse) is the source of this 314-nucleotide long non-coding RNA. RefSeq lists it as uncharacterized. The record is from RefSeq and is a predicted model, not a curated record. Lineage: Eukaryota; Metazoa; Chordata; Mammalia; Rodentia; Muridae.